GCUAAAUCCCUGGCUCUGUUCCUUUUUGUUUUGAGGCAGGGUUCAGGGCUGGCCUUGAACUUGGAAUCCCUCUGCCUCACCCUCUUGAAUGAGCAGCUGGGAUUACAGCCGUGCACCACUGUUCUUGGCUGACUUUUUUUUUUGAAACAGGCACUUGCUAUGUGAUUCAGGCUGGGCUUGAACUCACUAUGUAUUCCAGGCUGGACUUGAACUCACGGCAAUCCUCCUGCCUCAGCCUCCCAAGUACUGGGAUUACAGGAAGAAAGAGCUAGUUGUGGUUCAUGCUUCAGUCACCUCAGUCGGUGCACGGAUGGCCUAGCACAGAGGCUGUGGAGGACGCUGCUCACUGAAUGGCAGCCUGGAAGCAGACAGAGGAGAGAAGAGCUGAGAGGGCGAUAAACCUCCCUCGACACGCUCCAGGGACCCCACCUCCUCCGUCAGACCCUGCUUCCCAGCAGCCAGCUGUACCACGUCAUCAAACAAUGACCAUUCCCUGGCAUAUUAUCGUAAAAAUGAUGAUUUUAAUCAUAGGUUCCACUUGACUGAGUGCCCCCGAUGUUCUACCCAGUACAUGCAACAUCUCUGCUAAUCCUCAGGAAAAAGCCAUUAUUAUCCCCUGGCCAAGAGGGGAAAACCAAAGCUUACAAACUUCAGCAAAUAUCCUGCCUGUGGUUGAUGCUGUUCAUUCUGCCAUUCCCUGCACUCAUAUUAUGCCACAGCGGAUGAACUGACUUUAGCAAAAUAAUGUAGCAAUUAUUUCCUGUUUGGAAAACAGCUUCACCAUUAGAAUAUUUAACCCUUUGCCCCACUUAUUACUGUUGUAGCCCAGGUUUUUGUGUAGUUAGGUCACCUAAACAGUAGAUACAGUUUGCAUAAUGAUGCUCUGGCUCAGGACAGGUAAACAAUGGUUUUGUAAGAUUAUAAUAGAGCUGAAAAGUUCCUAUUGCAGUGAACACACGGCUGGAGAAUAGAAAGAGAAACUGCAGGGGGAAAUAGAACCCUGAAGAAAAUUCACAGUGAAGAUUUAGCAGAAGCGGUUGCAGACUUCAACAAGCUCCUUACAAGUGUUUGAAAACCCACAGGCUGUCCUUAAUAGAGAAGAGUUUUCAUCGCAUUAUCUGCCUACAAGAAAAAUCUAUGACAGAAAAAUAGAGAGAAGCAAACAACUAAGGACAUAUUUCUUUCUUUCUUUCUUCUUUUUUUUUUUUUUGAGGUACUGGGGAUUGAACUUGGGACCUUGUGCUUUCGAGGCAGCUGGUGGCACCACUGAGCUAAAUCCCCAGCCCACUAAGGGCAUAUUUCCGAAGAGUGACCUGCCUCAGUCCUUCAAGAGGGAUCCAGAGGGAAGCCACAGCUGUGGUCAUGGGGGUGACAGGCACCUUGUCACUGCCUUCCGGGGGGAGAGGAUGUGGAGGCGGAAGGCAGAGACUGACACUCCUCAUCCUGUGUAGGCCUAGGCCAAUGUGUGUGUUUGCAUCUUGAUUUUUAAUUUUUUUAAAAGUUUAAAAAGUAAAAUAAAAUUUAAAUAGAAAAGCUUAUAUAACAAGGGUAUAAAACUACUUUUGUACAGCUGUACAUGUUUGUGUUUGAAGCUGUUAUUACAAAUGAGUCAAAAUGUUUAAAUUAUCAAG
Heterocephalus glaber (naked mole-rat) is the source of this 1631-nucleotide long non-coding RNA. The record is from Ensembl. NCBI's taxonomy places the organism in Eukaryota, Metazoa, Chordata, Mammalia, Rodentia, Bathyergidae.